AACGAACGCUGGCGGCAUGCCUAACACAUGCAAGUCGAACGAGACCUUCGGGUCUAGUGGCGAACGGGUGCGUAACGCGUGGGAACCUGCCCUUAGGUUCGGAAUAACUCCCCGAAAGGGGUGCUAAUACCGGAUAAUGUCUUCGGACCAAAGAUUUAUCGCCUUUGGAUGGGCCCGCGUUGGAUUAGCUGGUUGGUAGGGUAAAAGCCUACCAAGGCGACGAUCCAUAGCUGGUCUGAGAGGAUGAUCAGCCACACUGGGACUGAGACACGGCCCAGACUCCUACGGGAGGCAGCAGUGGGGAAUAUUGGACAAUGGGCGAAAGCCUGAUCCAGCAAUGCCGCGUGAGUGAUGAAGGCCUUAGGGUUGUAAAGCUCUUUUACCCGGGAUGAUAAUGACAGUACCGGGAGAAUAAGCUCCGGCUAACUCCGUG
This 433-nucleotide ribosomal RNA is filed under the name uncultured bacterium. RNAcentral's name for it is "partial 16S ribosomal RNA". It matches the Rfam family "Bacterial small subunit ribosomal RNA", at positions 29 to 507 of the family's 1533-position model. The record is from RNAcentral.